This 18-nucleotide small nuclear RNA is filed under the name Arabidopsis thaliana (thale cress). RNAcentral's name for it is "snRNA_12298". Lineage: Eukaryota; Viridiplantae; Streptophyta; Magnoliopsida; Brassicales; Brassicaceae. The record is from RNAcentral.
CUAAUACACAUUGUUAGG